GACAGCAGUAGCCACGGUAAUACGGAGGGUGCAAGCGUUAUCCGGAUUUAUUGGGUUUAAAGGGUCCGUAGGCGGACUUAUAAGUCAGUGGUGAAAGCCUGUCGCUUAACGAUAGAACUGCCAUUGAUACUGUAAGUCUUGAGUAUAUUUGAGGUAGCUGGAAUAAGUAGUGUAGCGGUGAAAUGCAUAGAUAUUACUUAGAACACCAAUUGCGAAGGCAGGUUACCAAGAUAUAACUGACGCUGAGGGACGAAAGCGUGGGUAGCGAACAGGAUUAGAUACCCCUGUAGUCCCUGUCUCUUAUAA
Molecule: ribosomal RNA, 306 nt
Filed under: uncultured bacterium
Lineage: Bacteria
Description: partial 16S ribosomal RNA
Rfam family: Bacterial small subunit ribosomal RNA
Source: RNAcentral